UACGUAGGACCCAAGCGUUAUCCGGAGUGACUGGGCGUAAAGAGUUGCGUAGGUGGCUUGUAAAGUGAAUAGUGAAAUCUGGGGGCUCAACCUCACAGGCUAUUAUUCAAACUCACAAGCUCGAGAAUGAUAGAGGUAACUGGAAUUUCUGAAGUAGGGGUAAUAUCCGUAGAUAUCAGAAGGAACACCAAUGGCGUAGGCAGGUUACUGGAUCAUUUCUGACACUGAGGCACGAAAGCGUGGGGAGCGAACCGG
Molecule: ribosomal RNA, 255 nt
Filed under: uncultured bacterium
Lineage: Bacteria
Also listed under: 1 other name
Description: partial 16S ribosomal RNA
Rfam family: Bacterial small subunit ribosomal RNA
Source: RNAcentral